This 149-nucleotide small RNA is filed under the name Prochlorococcus marinus subsp. pastoris str. CCMP1986. RNAcentral's name for it is "Cyanobacterial functional RNA 11". It matches the Rfam family "Cyanobacterial functional RNA 11". Lineage: Bacteria; Bacillati; Cyanobacteriota; Cyanophyceae; Synechococcales; Prochlorococcaceae. The record is from Rfam by way of RNAcentral.
AAUCAAAUGGAGGGAUCAGAAAUGAUUGAUAGUCCACCAGAGAAUUUAAUGAGAUUGGUUUAAACAGCCAAAUCCUAUUAAAUAAAAAUAAGCUAAGUAUUCCUAAAGAGGUUGUUUUCAUUUAAAGGCUGAGUUCAACCUCUUUUUUG